This 253-nucleotide ribosomal RNA is filed under the name uncultured bacterium. RNAcentral's name for it is "partial 16S ribosomal RNA". It matches the Rfam family "Bacterial small subunit ribosomal RNA", at positions 524 to 776 of the family's 1533-position model. The record is from RNAcentral.
UACGUAGGGGGCUAGCGUUGUCCGGAAUCAUUGGGCGUAAAGAGCGUGUAGGCGGCUCGGUAAGUCCGCUGUGAAAGUCCAGGGCUCAACCCUGGAAUGCCAGUGGAAACUGUCGAGCUAGAGUCCGGAAGAGGCGAGUGGAAUUCCUGGUGUAGCGGUGAAAUGCGCAGAUAUCAGGAGGAACACCAAUGGCGAAGGCAGCUCGCUGGGGCGGUACUGACGCUGAGACGCGAAAGCGUGGGGAGCAAACAGG